ACCUGCCUCAAGGCUGGGGAUAACAUUUGGAAACAGAUGCUAAUACCGAAUAAAACUUAGUGUCGCAUGACACAAAGUUAAAAGGCGCUUCGGCGUCACCUAGAGAUGGAUCCGCGGUGCAUUAGUUAGUUGGUGGGGUAAAGGCCUACCAAGACAAUGAUGCAUAGCCGAGUUGAGAGACUGAUCGGCCACAUUGGGACUGAGACACGGCCCAAACUCCUACGGGAGGCUGCAGUAGGGAAUCUUCCACAAUGGGCGAAAGCCUGAUGGAGCAACGCCGCGUGUGUGAUGAAGGCUUUCGGGUCGUAAAGCACUGUUGUAUGGGAAGAACAGCUAGAAUAGGAAAUGAUUUUAGUUUGACGGUACCAUACCAGAAAGGGACGGCUAAAUACGUGCCAGCAGCCGCGGUAAUACGUAUGUCCCGAGCGUUAUCCGGAUUUAUUGGGCGUAAAGCGAGCGCAGACGGUUUAUUAAGUCUGAUGUGAAAGCCCGGAGCUCAACUCCGGAAUGGCAUUGGAAACUGGUUAACUUGAGUGCAGUAGAGGUAAGUGGAACUCCAUGUGUAGCGGUGGAAUGCGUAGAUAUAUGGAAGAACACCAGUGGCGAAGGCGGCUUACUGGACUGCAACUGACGUUGAGGCUCGAAAGUGUGGGUAGCAAACAGGAUUAGAUACCCUGGUAGUCCACACCGUAAACGAUGAACACUAGGUGUUAGGAGGUUUCCGCCUCUUAGUGCCGAAGCUAACGCAUUAAGUGUUCCGCCUGGGGAGUACGACCGCAAGGUUGAAACUCAAAGGAAUUGACGGGGACCCGCACAAGCGGUGGAGCAUGUGG
This 833-nucleotide ribosomal RNA is filed under the name Leuconostoc mesenteroides. RNAcentral describes it as "bacterial SSU rRNA". It matches the Rfam family "Bacterial small subunit ribosomal RNA", at positions 124 to 944 of the family's 1533-position model. The record is from RNAcentral. Lineage: Bacteria; Bacillati; Bacillota; Bacilli; Lactobacillales; Lactobacillaceae.